This 292-nucleotide ribosomal RNA is filed under the name uncultured bacterium. RNAcentral's name for it is "partial 16S ribosomal RNA". It matches the Rfam family "Bacterial small subunit ribosomal RNA", at positions 505 to 796 of the family's 1533-position model. The record is from RNAcentral.
GUGUCAGCCGCCGCGGUAAUACGUAGGUGGCAAGCGAUACUCGGAAUCACUAGGCGUAAAGCGCAGGUAGGCGGUUUGAUAAGUCUUUUGUGAAAGCUCCUGGCUUAACUGGGAGAGGUCAAAGGAAACUGUCAGACUAGAGUUUGGUAGGGGAUACUGGAAUUCCUGGUGUAGCGGUGAAAUGCGUAGAUAUCAGGAGGAAUACCUAUGGCGAAAGCAGGUAUCUGGGCCACAACUGACGCUGAGCUGCGAAAGCUAGGGGAGCAAACAGGAUUAGAUACCCUUGUAGUCC